UUUUUGCAUGAUAUUAGGCCAGUAGCUGUGCGUUGUGCUGUUGCCUUGGGUGAAGAAGGCGAUAUGGUUUCUGCCCAUUUUGCUGCUCCUGCUUUUGAAGAUUAUAGACAGAUGGUUCAAUAUUUUCAAGGAAAACUGAACUGUUCCCUUGAAAUUAUUCCGAGUGUCAUUUUAUGUAAAGUUUGUCUCUUGAAUACUCUAAACUGCAGGUGGUUGCUGGUAAAGGCCAUGAAACAUAUCAGAUUGAAGGUGACAAAAAAGAAUUCCUUGACGACUGGGAAGCGUAGCAGUACGUUGACGAGCUUCACCAAGCUGGGAUAGACACAAGUGAAUUCCCAUGGAGGUUACCAGGAAGCCAUUGAUUUAGUGUCAGAGAGGAAUUGGUCGAUACUGAACCUAUCCAAUGCAACGAAGAGAACAAUAGUUUUGGGUUUUGUCUUGUAUAAAAGUAGAAUCUAUUCAAUUCCCAACGGUAGUUAUCAAAAGGAAGAGAAUGCUUCGUGGCUGGAAAGAUCUUCACGGUGCAAUCCUCGAUGAAAGCUUCAGAAAGGGUAUGGUAACCGGUAAGAUCUGCACUUGCAAUCCCUUAAAAUGAGUUUGUAAAAGCUAUUUUUUUGCCCCGUUGGUUUUUUCAGGUCUUUGUGCAGUCUAAAGUCUGGUGUAAACAUAUAGGGUGGGAAUAUGAAAAUUCUGAUCCUGUGAAGUACCAGAGGUACACAUUUGCAUGCAGAACUGCAUGGACAUGGACUACUGACUGUAUGCCAAGUGUGAGGAAUCCUUCGAUGUUCUUUUCAGUAUACCAAAUUGGUUUUUGUGCUUCAAUGGUCCGUUUCAAGAUUGUUAAAAUCGCAAGUUAACUAUUUUACAAGUCAAUUUGUAUUUAGCAUGCAAAAUUGGUCGGACUCAACUUGGUAAACUCGGUAAAAUCAUGCAAACUCUUGAUUUUGCACUGAUUUUAUACUAGUUUUGAGUAAGGAUGUCCCUCGUGUUGAAGUAGAUCAAUUCAUGGGGAUCACUGAAAUAGUAAAUCCCAAUUUCUA
Long non-coding RNA from Populus trichocarpa (black cottonwood), 1040 nucleotides. RefSeq lists it as uncharacterized. NCBI's taxonomy places the organism in Eukaryota, Viridiplantae, Streptophyta, Magnoliopsida, Malpighiales, Salicaceae. The record is from RefSeq and is a predicted model, not a curated record. The transcript has 2 exons.